UACGUAGGGUGCAAGCGUUGUCCGGAAUUAUUGGGCGUAAAGAGCUCGUAGGCGGUUUGUCGCGUCUGCUGUGAAAAUCCAGGGCUUAACCCUGGACCUGCAGUGGGUACGGGCAGACUAGAGUGCGGUAGGGGAGAUCGGAAUUCCUGGUGUAGCGGUGAAAUGCGCAGAUAUCAGGAGGAACACCGGUGGCGAAGGCGGAUCUCUGGGCCGUAACUGACGCUGGAGGAAGCGAAAGCAUGGGGAGCGAACAGGA
This 256-nucleotide ribosomal RNA is filed under the name uncultured bacterium. RNAcentral describes it as "partial 16S ribosomal RNA". It matches the Rfam family "Bacterial small subunit ribosomal RNA", at positions 524 to 777 of the family's 1533-position model. The record is from RNAcentral.